Molecule: ribosomal RNA, 1263 nt
Filed under: Triticum aestivum (bread wheat)
Lineage: Eukaryota; Viridiplantae; Streptophyta; Magnoliopsida; Poales; Poaceae
Description: partial small subunit ribosomal RNA
Source: RNAcentral
AUGGAUUCACAUGUGCAUGGCAAUAAGCGUGCGGAGUACGACAGGUUGUUGCGUGAAGCCCGCCGGGAGAUUGACGCAAAGGUCCAACACGAACGUGAUGAGAUGGACAGGGCACUCAAACAAGAACGUGCGUAUGUCGAUAGGAUGCUUAAGGAUGAGCGUGUUGAUAUAUCUCAGAAGAUUAAGCAGAUGCGUGAAGAGAUGGAAAAAAAGUUAAAUCAGGACCACGAGGCCAUGGAAAAGAAAUUCCAGCUGGCGUACAAGGAGAUGCACCUUAAAUUGCAAAAGGACCGGAAGGUUGUCGACGGCCUUAUACAGACAGAGCGUGUCAACAUGGACGUGAAUGUGUUGCAGGCACGUGCUAAUAUGGACAUUAGGCUGCAACAGGAGUGCAAGGACAUGGACUACAAGGCUAUGGUGGAGCAGGUCAUGAUGGAAGGAAAGAUGCUGGAAGACCGUGCGAUGUUUCAAUCCCACGUUCAAUGCCACAGCACUAAACCGCAAGAGCAUGUCUUCAGUACUCCCCGUUCCAAGAAGCAUUACGCGGCACAAUCUCCAAACUCUAAAGGCCUAGUGAUGUCGGUGUCACCCGUUGAAUGCCACAGUUCUCCACUCGAAGAACAUGUCUUCAAGUCUCCACCUGCUAAGCAUCCAGUGACGGAACAAUCCCGAAUCCUCGCACAUGAAGUUUACAUCCCAUAUAAUAAUAAGGUGCUUGUAAUGGAAUUUUACAUUCAUAGGGACUGUGAGCUUUCACAUGUCCCGACAGGAUACUUUGACGAAAGACCCAUUGAGAUGAGAUUGUCUGAACCCGGCGUAUUGGACUAUGAUUUUCUCAUGAAAGAAGUGGUUGGAUAUGGUUACAAAAAGGAUUCAGAUUUGUACCACUUCUUACCUGAGCAUGCGUGCAACCUACCGGAAGGAAUGUUCCUGAUUUCAGGACCAGGUGAUUUUGCAAAGAUGAUUUCCCGCCUGAACGGCAGCAAGACACGUCAUUUGUAUUUGGUGUAUAAUCGUCCACCAAAAGAUGAUUAUGAGUGGUGGUCGGACAUGGAUUCAGAGGAACUGCGCAUCCAAGACUUGCAGCAUGAGGAGGCUCUGGCUAGAGAGCUUGAGGCAAAGGAACAACUAAACUCCUUAGGUUACAUUGAUGUACUGUGUAAAAAUAUUGGAGAAGGUGGGUCGUCGCAAAUCCUGACGCAAACUCCAAUGACCAAUACGAAGAAGUCACUGGAUUUUGGCACCGGAGACGAGCUUCCGUAG